GAUGAACGCUAGCUACAGGCUUAACACAUGCAAGUCGAGCGACCGACGCACGGGUGAGUAACACGUAUCUAACUUACCUUUUACUCGGGGAUAGCCUUUCGAAAGAAAGAUUAAUAAACGAUGUUAAGGACGGGGAUGAGUUCUACUAUGUUGUUGGUGAGGUAACGGCUCACCAAGCCUUCGAUGGAUAGGGGUUCUGAGAGGAAGGUCCCCCACAUUGGAACUGGGACACGGUCCAUACUCCUACGGGCGGCAGCAGUGAGGAAUAUUGGUCAGUGGGCGUUAGCCUGAACCAGCCAAGUAGCGUGAAGGAUGAAGGCUUAUGGGUCGUAAACUUCUUUUAUAUAAGAAUAUGUAUUAUAUGAAUAAGGAUCGGCUAACUCCGUGCCAGCAGCCGCGGUAAUAC
RNAcentral lists this ribosomal RNA (406 nucleotides) under uncultured bacterium. RNAcentral's name for it is "partial 16S ribosomal RNA". It matches the Rfam family "Bacterial small subunit ribosomal RNA", at positions 28 to 526 of the family's 1533-position model. The record is from RNAcentral.